GCCCCAAUAUGUGCUGGCUGCCACCCGGACAGGAGCCACCACCUCCAAGGAGCCCACCGGCUAGGACCCUCUACCUUGAUUUCUCCCAGGCACCAUCUAGUAUCAAAGAAGGGUUCUGCUUCCCUCCGCUGCCCAGGCCAGCCUGAGAGGAAGGCCAUUGGAGUGUCUGGAACCCUGCAGCUCUUCCCCUGGGCUGUCUCCACAGCGGCCCUACCAAGGGGUGCAGUCCAAUCCUGCCACCCUGGCUGCCCAGAUCCGUGCCACCUGCCCUGCAGGCCACAGAGCACAAGGCCACAGCCCCAGGCAUCCCACAGCAGAGAGGCACAGGACCCCAGCAGCAGCCCCCACACCAGCUCUGGCCAGCCCAACCCUGUCAGAACCAACCCUCUGCUCUCCACCCAGGCCUCAGCCGACCAUCAGGCCCUGCCUCCCCAAGGAGGAGGAUGUGAGUAUCAGGAUCAGCCCUGUCCCUCCCAGAGCACUGUUGGGCCUGGCACCUCCCAGGACGCCCCAGGCAGCCCCUGGGGUCAGCUAUACCCCCAUUUAACAGAGGAGACAGCUGCAUUUCAGGCCACACAGGACCAGCUCGCCUCCUGCUGGGUGGGGGCUCCCCACCUCGUCCACCCCACACCUGAGCCAACGACCCUCAUCUAUCUGCCCUCUGCUUUAGGCCUCCCAGGGCUCUCUAGUGCCCACAGCCCUUCAGGGCCCUUCCUAACGGCGCCUCCCCCAUGCCCUCCCCUAGAUGCAUCUGGCCACUUGCCCGCCUCUGUGCUUCUGUGUCCAUCAUGUCCAUACCCCCAGCUCCCUCCAGGCACCUCUCACACCAACCCCACGUCUUUCCCUGGGCUAUGUCACCCUGGGUGCCCAGCCUCACCUCUCACACCAACCCCACGUCUUUCCCUGGGCCAUGUCACCCUGGGUGCCCAGCCUCAGCCUUCAGAGCUCCCAGGCAAGCGCAGAAGUCCCAGCUCCAGGCUCCCUGAGCCGCCAGCCCACCCCCCACCAGAUUCCCACAGGUGGGACUGCAUGGGGAACCAUGGGUGGAAGCCUCCCAGCCCACGCCCCUGCCAGCCCUCGCCCCUGCCAGCACUCAGCAUGGUGUCCGAUGGCAGCAUUGCUGUGUGGGAAAGGGGGCAGCAUGGGAUAAGGACCACUAGGCUGUCCCCAGCCUGCCAAGGGCCCAAGCCCACCUCCUAG
RNAcentral lists this long non-coding RNA (1200 nucleotides) under Piliocolobus tephrosceles (Ugandan red Colobus). RNAcentral's name for it is "lncRNA (ENSPTEG00000005696.1)". The record is from RNAcentral. Lineage: Eukaryota; Metazoa; Chordata; Mammalia; Primates; Cercopithecidae.